RNAcentral lists this ribosomal RNA (494 nucleotides) under uncultured bacterium. Its description in RNAcentral is "partial 16S ribosomal RNA". It matches the Rfam family "Bacterial small subunit ribosomal RNA", at positions 28 to 507 of the family's 1533-position model. The record is from RNAcentral.
GACGAACGCUGGCGGCGUGCUUAACACAUGCAAGUCGAACGGUGAAGCGCCUUCCUUUUUGGUGGGUGUGGAUGAGUGGCGAACGGGUGAGUAACACGUGAGUAACCUGCCCCCUUCUUCUGGAUAACCGCAUGAAAGUGUGGCUAAUACGGGAUAUUCUGGGUCUGUCGCAUGAUGGGUCUGGGAAAGAUAUUGUUUCGGUGGGGGAUGGGCUCGCGGCCUAUCAGCUUGUUGGUGGGGUGAUGGCCUACCAAGGCGGUGACGGGUAGCCGGCCUGAGAGGGUGGACGGUCACACUGGGACUGGGACACGGCCGAGACUCCUACGGGAGGCAGCAGUGGGGAAUAUUGCACAAUGGGCGCAAGCCUGAUGCAGCGACGCCGCGUGAGGGAUGGAGGCCUUCGGGUUGUGAACCUCUUUCGCCAGUGAAGCAGGCCUGCCUCGUUUGUGGGUGGGUUGACGGUAGCUGGAUAAGAAGCGCCGGCUAACUACGUG